Molecule: long non-coding RNA, 1444 nt
Organism: Balaenoptera ricei (Rice's whale)
Lineage: Eukaryota; Metazoa; Chordata; Mammalia; Artiodactyla; Balaenopteridae
Exons: 5
Source: RefSeq, a predicted model, not a curated record
GACAGCCUGGGAGCAGGUAGCAGCGGCCGCGCGGCGGAAAGAAGGAGCAGCUGAGCAUCCAUCCGGUGGGGUCCGAUGCCCUCGAAGGCGGUAGAUUUCUGCUGUGCCCCCUUGUAUACAGCUACACACCCCUUGGCGCCGUCUCCCCUCCCGCAUAGGUGACCCCUCUCCGUUCAACCGCUUGGUGGCCGCGCGUCUCCGCUCGGGGCGUUGCCAGCGCCGCCGCCCAGCAGAGGGCAGUGUUGAGACACCAACGGAGCCGGCGCCCCGGGGCCGCGCCGGGAAGCCGAGCCUCAGGACCCACGCUCGCUGCAGGCGCCAACCCGUCAAGCGAUUCCCCGGGGAGCCCUUCCAGCCGUGUAACGGUGGCCCGAAAAGGAGCAGGUGACAGGAAUGAAAUAGUCAACAAAUCUGUUCCGCAGAAUGAAAAUGAGUUGUCGUUUAGCAUUUUAUCAUCUGGUGACACACUCUUCCCGCUUAAGGAUGGUGCAGGAGCCGGUGAACGUCUGCCGCGUGCCCCCAGCCCCUCUCCCCAGCGCCAAGCACCCUCUCUGGGGGCGCCGCCAGCAGCGGACAAGGGGCAGCGGACCCGGGCCCCGGGGGGGCGGGAAGGCAGGCGGCUGCAUUAAGGAUGCCGAGGACGCAGGCACAUUUCCAGAGGCUGUGAUGUAGAAGGCAGCAAAGCAUCACAGCCUGAUGAAGGAAGAGGAGACGGCAGAAAGUGAGGGGAGACAGGCAGCCUUGCUCUUCCCAUUGGCGACAGGUGUCUCCUCCCAUACUGAUUCCGUUGAUCAGCAGGGAGAAAUGUUUAGCCGUUUCUUUGUCCGUCGUCAUCUCCAUUGACUUGCCAUUCCUCACCCCUGCUUGUGACUGUGCUGCAGCAGAUCCCCGGGCACACCUUCGAGGCUGAAAGUGACCCUGACUCCUUCCCUAUGUGGCCAGAAGGGGAUGAGAAUCUUACUGGAAAUGGGUGGACUGAUGACCAUAAAAGGAACCCAACAUUAGAUCAAUGAUUGAAUCCAGCGCUGUGUGGACUUAUCAGCUUAAACCACGUGGAUUUAGACCUCCGGCUGCUAAGGCGCACUCACGGCCACGGGAGAGGGGAAGAGGUCGAUACGCUGGGAGGAUGAGAUUCCGGGGACGCAGAAAGCCACCUUUCCCACCCAUCAGACAAGCCAUCUGCAGCAGGAGAGGGGGCUGAUCCACAAAGGAAAGCAGAAUGAGAAAUGGAGCCGGAGAGAGCUGGGUGACAUUACAGGGCCCUGGAUAAGCCAGCACGGGCUGCAAUUAAAAUCUGAAAUUGCAGUGUUUGCGGGAAAGCAGUCACACGGCUGGGCAAGCGGCUGCCUUUCAGAGGCCUGUUGGAAACGUUUGCAUGCGGACGAAAGGAGCACUGUCGCAGACGAUGGCUUCAGGUGGGGUUUGCUCCAGGCGCAGCGGGUGU